UGGACACACUCUGCUGGACACGCUCACCUCCAUCUGGGCCUCAGGUUGCCUAGGCUGCCUGCGCUGUGUGCUGCUCCAGCAGCUCAGUCCAGCUUUGCAAUGCGGCGCCUGGGGCUUCAAGGCAACUUGCCCAGGUCCCAGAGUGGCUCAGAGAUGACACUGGGAUCCAGGCUCCACUGGACUAGGCAGAACAUGCAAUCCCAAAGCAGAAUGCGUCUGCUGCCACGAGGUCCUGGAGAGGUCUCCCAGUGACUGGGAGAGACAGCAGGGACCAUGGACACAUGCCAGUGCCCAGGAGGACUAUGUGGUGCCGUAGGAGUUUAUAGUAGAGAAGAUUCCUGAAUUUCAGAGAAGUGUUCCCUGGGGCAAUGCUUCAGCAAACAUCUGAGCCAAACAAGAAGCCAGUCUCUGUGAUGUGAGGACGCCCGAGCAGCACUGUGGAGAGACCUGCAUAGAGAGGUGCCUCAGCCUCCUGCCAACACCGUGCGUGGAGCCGUCUUGGUGUGGAGCAAGCUUGGGUGAUCACGGCAGGGAUAUCCCCAAUGCAAGCCGUGAGGGAGCCUGAAACAGAUCUGCCCAGGGUGCCUGCAGGCAAAUUCUCCACCACGGAAACUGUGAGGGAUGAGAACUCUUAUUUAUUGUUUCUGGCUGCUACAUUUUGGCUAAAUGUGUAAUAAAUAACA
Long non-coding RNA from Cavia porcellus (domestic guinea pig), 683 nucleotides. RefSeq lists it as uncharacterized. The record is from RefSeq and is a predicted model, not a curated record. The transcript is spliced from 4 exons. NCBI's taxonomy places the organism in Eukaryota, Metazoa, Chordata, Mammalia, Rodentia, Caviidae.